Molecule: ribosomal RNA, 254 nt
Filed under: uncultured bacterium
Lineage: Bacteria
Description: partial 16S ribosomal RNA
Rfam family: Bacterial small subunit ribosomal RNA
Source: RNAcentral
UACAGAGGGGGCAAGCGUUAUUCGGAAUUAUUGGGCGUAAAGGGCGCGUAGGCGGCAUGGCAAGUGGAUGGUGAAAUCCCUCGGCUUAACCGAGGAACUGCCGUCCAAACUGCUUCGCUUGAGACCGGGAGAGGUGAGUGGAAUUCCCAGUGUAGCGGUGAAAUGCGUAGAUAUUGGGAGGAACACCAGUGGCGAAGGCGGCUCACUGGACCGGUACUGACGCUGAUGCGCGAAAGCGUGGGGAGCAAACGGGG